UACAGAGGGUGCAAGCGUUACUCGGAAUUACUGGGCGUAAAGGGUUCGUAGGUGGCUUGCUAAGUCAGACGUGAAAUCCCUCAGCUUAACUGGGGAACUGCGUCUGAGACUGGCAAGCUUGAGUGCAGGAGAGGAAUGCGGAAUUCCAGGUGUAGCGGUGAAAUGCGUAGAUAUCAGGAGGAACACCGAUGGCGAAGGCAGGUCUCUGGGCCACUACUGACGCUGAGGAGCGAAAGCGUGGGUAGCAAACAGG
RNAcentral lists this ribosomal RNA (253 nucleotides) under uncultured bacterium. RNAcentral describes it as "partial 16S ribosomal RNA". It matches the Rfam family "Bacterial small subunit ribosomal RNA", at positions 524 to 776 of the family's 1533-position model. The record is from RNAcentral.